RNAcentral lists this ribosomal RNA (452 nucleotides) under uncultured organism. Its description in RNAcentral is "partial 16S ribosomal RNA". It matches the Rfam family "Bacterial small subunit ribosomal RNA", at positions 330 to 798 of the family's 1533-position model. The record is from RNAcentral.
CGUACACUCCUACGGGAGGCAGCAGUGGGGAAUAUUGGACAAUGGGCGCAAGCCUGAUCCAGCCAUGCCGCGUGAGUGAUGAAGGCCCUAGGGUUGUAAAGCUCUUUUGUGCGGGAAGAUAAUGACGGUACCGCAAGAAUAAGCCCCGGCUAACUUCGUGCCAGCAGCCGCGGUAAUACGAAGGGGGCUAGCGUUGCUCGGAAUCACUGGGCGUAAAGGGUGCGUAGGCGGGUCUUUAAGUCAGGGGUGAAAUCCUGGAGCUCAACUCCAGAACUGCCUUUGAUACUGAAGAUCUUGAGUUCGGGAGAGGUGAGUGGAACUGCGAGUGUAGAGGUGAAAUUCGUAGAUAUUCGCAAGAACACCAGUGGCGAAGGCGGCUCACUGGCCCGAUACUGACGCUGAGGCACGAAAGCGUGGGGAGCAAACAGGAUUAGAAACCCGAGUAGUCCCAU